Long non-coding RNA from Cyprinus carpio (common carp), 392 nucleotides. RefSeq lists it as uncharacterized. Lineage: Eukaryota; Metazoa; Chordata; Actinopteri; Cypriniformes; Cyprinidae. The record is from RefSeq and is a predicted model, not a curated record. The transcript has 3 exons.
ACCCACUUUGCCCACAGUUUUCAGAGCAAAAGAGACUUUAUGUGAGAACAGACUGUUGAAAUGCUACUACAACUGCGAUGAACAAUAUUCUACUAACGGCAAGUGAUUCAGUCUAAAGGAGACUAAAAAGAAACAUGACUAGAGGUGUUGUGAUGCUUAAAACUACAUCUGUGUACACAGAUGUUUUGAUACAUCUUUUGUUGAUACUGGUCAAUGUUGAAGGAUGGACGUAUCACUGGAAGGACAACGAGACAAUGACCUGGAAUGAGACAAGGAAGUGGUGUCUAACAGAAUACACAGACAUUGUGAUGGUCCACAAUGAAAAUGUAACAUAUUUCCUUAAAAACAAUUUGAAAGAAAAAUCUUCAUCUCCCCUACUACUGGAUUGGAUU